Molecule: ribosomal RNA, 301 nt
Filed under: uncultured bacterium
Lineage: Bacteria
Description: partial 16S ribosomal RNA
Rfam family: Bacterial small subunit ribosomal RNA
Source: RNAcentral
CAGUAGCCGCGGGAAAACAGAGGGUGCGAGCGUUAAUCGGAUUUACUGGGCGUAAAGCGUGCGUAGGCGGCUUUUUAAGUCGGAUGUGAAAUCCCUGAGCUUAACUUAGGAAUUGCAUUCGAUACUGGGAAGCUAGAGUAUGGGAGAGGAUGGUAGAAUUCCAGGUGUAGCGGUGAAAUGCGUAGAGAUCUGGAGGAAUACCGAUGGCGAAGGCAGCCAUCUGGCCUAAUACUGACGCUGAGGUACGAAAGCAUGGGGAGCAAACAGGAUUAGAUACCCGAGUAGUCCCUGUCUCUUAUAC